RNAcentral lists this ribosomal RNA (315 nucleotides) under Triticum aestivum (bread wheat). RNAcentral describes it as "partial small subunit ribosomal RNA". The record is from RNAcentral. Lineage: Eukaryota; Viridiplantae; Streptophyta; Magnoliopsida; Poales; Poaceae.
AUGCAGAUCAACUCGAGCUCGGAGCAACCACCUCGACCGGAUCGACGCCUUCUUCUUCCUCGGUCGUCACCGCUGCUCUUCAUCGAUCCGUCGCCUCUGCAGCUCCUAAGCCACCAACGGGCCUCCGUGUGCCUCCGCGACUACGAGGCUGAUACUGCUGCUGGUACCCCGAUCGACUACGGUGUUGACGACCCCUCUUUCUUGUCUGAGCAACCAGACGAUGGAGCCCAGGAGCCAGACGCCACCGUCGAUGACGACUACUACCCCGGAGGUGCCUACUACUACGUGCAGCCCGAUGACGACGACCAUGAGUAG